GCACGCCCGUGCCUCGUGGCCUCUGUCCGAACCGACCCUGACGUACUUCCCCAACGUCAGGUUCGUGCCGUCGGGCAGGGACCUCGAGGCAGGGGCCCGGCGAU
Mycobacterium heraklionense is the source of this 104-nucleotide non-coding RNA. NCBI's taxonomy places the organism in Bacteria, Bacillati, Actinomycetota, Actinomycetes, Mycobacteriales, Mycobacteriaceae. The record is from Rfam.